AGCAGCCGCCGCGGUAAUACGAAGGGUGCAAGCGUUACUCGGAAUUACUGGGCGUAAAGCGUGCGUAGGUGGUGGUUUAAGUCCGUUGUGAAAGCCCUGGGCUCAACCUGGGAAUUGCAGUGGAUACUGGGUCACUAGAGUGUGGUAGAGGAUAGUGGAAUUUCCGGUGUAGCAGUGAAAUGCGUAGAGAUCGGAAGGAACAUCUGUGGCGAAGGCGACUAUCUGGGCCAACACUGACACUGAGGCACGAAAGCGUGGGGAGCAAACAGGAUUAGAUACCCGCGUAGUCCCUGUCUCUUAUAC
Molecule: ribosomal RNA, 303 nt
Filed under: uncultured bacterium
Lineage: Bacteria
Description: partial 16S ribosomal RNA
Rfam family: Bacterial small subunit ribosomal RNA
Source: RNAcentral